Molecule: ribosomal RNA, 254 nt
Filed under: uncultured bacterium
Lineage: Bacteria
Description: partial 16S ribosomal RNA
Rfam family: Bacterial small subunit ribosomal RNA
Source: RNAcentral
UACAGAGGGUGCGAGCGUUGUUCGGAAUUAUUGGGCGUAAAGGGCGCGUAGGCGGUGCGGUAAGUCACCUGUGAAAUCUCCUGGCUCAACUGGGAGCUUGCAGGCGAAACUGCCGUGCUGGAGUGUGGGAGAGGUGCGUGGAAUUCCUGGUGUAGCGGUGAAAAUGCGUAGAUAUCAGGAGGAACACCUGUGGCGAAGGCGGCACUCUGGGCCGGUACUGACGCUGAGGAGCGAAAGCGUGGGGAGCAAACAGG